Small nucleolar RNA from Chanos chanos (milkfish), 127 nucleotides. RefSeq annotates it as small nucleolar RNA SNORD22. The record is from RefSeq and is a predicted model, not a curated record. Lineage: Eukaryota; Metazoa; Chordata; Actinopteri; Gonorynchiformes; Chanidae. The transcript has a single exon.
UCCUGGUGAUGAAGCUCGCAAACGUCUUACGCCCAGUGUCGACGCCAGAUCCUGAAAAGGUGAACCCUCUGGCGUUGCCUGGGCGACAAGGGGAUGACUCGUUGGGGUUACCAACUGUCUGAUGGGA